GGUUUUUAAUACUAUAAUAAUAUAUUAUUAGACAGUCCGGUUUAACUUCACGAUCUUUUCAGACUCUUCAAGUUACUUUAUUUAUUAUAUACAGUAUAUUUGACCUUUUUUCAACUCUAUUAAGGCAAAAAAUACCUGGGUUUCCUAAUUCUUCUUGCAAAAACGUAGGUAGGGUUUUCUUUUGAAGUAUUUUGUUAGAACUGCUCAUGCUACAUGAGCAAGUUGUAGCAGGGUUGCAGCAAGUCUGCCAACAAGCCGUCAACAAGUUGUGUUCGCACUGCUUGUCCCAAGUUGCCAACAAGUCUGAGUUUGAAACAAGCUGUUAACAAUUGGUAACAAUCUUGUUUAUACAAUCAAACUUGUUGCAAGGUUGUUCCAACAAUUCCGAUACAGUCAUGAUAUAACAAUAUUGUCACAACCUUGUAACAUUCUUGUCAUAUCAUGACUG
This is a non-coding RNA of Paramuricea clavata, 448 nucleotides long. Lineage: Eukaryota; Metazoa; Cnidaria; Anthozoa; Malacalcyonacea; Plexauridae. The record is from the annotation of a GenBank genome assembly.